This 82-nucleotide non-coding RNA is filed under the name pig gut metagenome. RNAcentral's name for it is "TPP riboswitch (THI element)". It matches the Rfam family "TPP riboswitch aptamer (THI element)", at positions 9 to 90 of the family's 105-position model. Rfam says of the family: Vitamin B(1) in its active form thiamin pyrophosphate (TPP) is an essential coenzyme that is synthesised by coupling of pyrimidine and thiazole moieties in bacteria. The previously detected thiamin-regulatory element, thi box was extended, resulting in a new, highly conserved RNA secondary structure, the THI element, which is widely distributed in eubacteria and also occurs in some archaea. Analysis of operon structures identified a large number of new candidate thiamin-regulated genes, mostly transporters, in various prokaryotic organisms. The record is from RNAcentral.
UCAGGGGUGCUAUACAGCUGAGAUAAAGUUUACUUUAAACCCUUAACCUGAUCCAGAUAAUGCUGGCGUAGGAAGAUGUUUU